RNAcentral lists this ribosomal RNA (76 nucleotides) under Tupaia belangeri (northern tree shrew). The record is from RNAcentral. Lineage: Eukaryota; Metazoa; Chordata; Mammalia; Scandentia; Tupaiidae.
UCUAGAGGCUCAGCUGGGUUGGUCCUGGUUAGUAUUUAGAUGGGAGACCUCCUGGAGAUUCCUGAGGCUGCUGGCC